This 274-nucleotide ribosomal RNA is filed under the name uncultured bacterium. RNAcentral's name for it is "partial 16S ribosomal RNA". It matches the Rfam family "Bacterial small subunit ribosomal RNA", at positions 523 to 796 of the family's 1533-position model. The record is from RNAcentral.
AUACUGAGGGUGCAAGCGUUAAUCGGAAUUACAGGGCGUAAAGCGCACGUAGGCGGUUUAUUAAGUCAGAUGUGAAAGCCCUGGGCUUAACCUGGGAACUGCAUUUGAGACUGGUAGGCUAGAGUAUGGUAGAGGAUAGUGGAAUUCCGGGUGUAGCGGUGAAAUGCGUAGAUAUCCGGAGGAACAUCAGUGGCGAAGGCGGCUAUCUGGACCAAUACUGACGCUGAGGUGCGAAAGCGUGGGGAGCAAACAGGAUUAGAUACCCCAGUAGUCC